UAAGGAAUAUUGCGCAAUGGACGAAAGUCUGACGCAGCGACGCCGCGUGGGGGAUGAAGGUCUUCGGAUUGUAAACCCCUUUCGGGAGGGAAGAUGGAGUGGGUAACCACUUGGACGGUACCUCCAGAAGCAGCCACGGCUAACUUCGUGCCAGCAGCCGCGGUAAUACGAAGGUGGCAAGCGUUGUUCGGAUUCACUGGGCGUACAGGGAGCGUAGGCGGUUGGGUAAGCCCUCCGUGAAAUCUCCGGGCCUAACCCGGAAAGUGCAGAGGGGACUGCUCAGCUAGAGGAUGGGAGAGGAGCGCGGAAUUCCCGGUGUAGCGGUGAAAUGCGUAGAGAUCGGGAGGAAGGCCGGUGGCGAAGGCGGCGCUCUGGAACAUUUCUGACGCUGAGGCUCGAAAGCGUGGGGAGCAAACAGG
RNAcentral lists this ribosomal RNA (419 nucleotides) under uncultured bacterium. RNAcentral's name for it is "bacterial SSU rRNA". It matches the Rfam family "Bacterial small subunit ribosomal RNA", at positions 355 to 776 of the family's 1533-position model. The record is from RNAcentral. RNAcentral also lists the same sequence under 1 other name.